UUUGAUCCUGGCUCAGGACGAACGCUGGCGGCGUGCCUAACACAUGCAAGUCGAGCGGAGAACUUCGGUUCUUAGCGGCGGACGGGUGAGUAACACGUGGGUAACCUGCCUUGUAGAGGGGGAUAGCCUUCCGAAAGGAAGAUUAAUACCGCAUAACAUUAUUUUCUCGCAUGAGAGAAUAAUUAAAGGAGUAAUCCGCUACAAGAUGGACCCGCGGCGCAUUAGCUAGUUGGUGAGGUAACGGCUCACCAAGGCGACGAUGCGUAGCCGGCCUGAGAGGGUGAACGGCCACAUUGGAACUGAGACACGGUCCAGACUCCUACGGGAGGCAGCAGUGGGGAAUAUUGCACAAUGGGCGAAAGCCUGAUGCAGCAACGCCGCGUGAGUGAUGAAGGCCUUCGGGGUUGUAAAGCUCUGUCUUCUGGGACCGAUAAUGACGGUACCAGAGGAGGAAGCCACGGCUAACUACGUGCCAGCAGCCGCGGUAAUACGUAGGUGGCAAGCGUUGUCCGGAUUUACUGGGCGUAAAGGAUGCGUAGGCGGAUACUUAAGUCAGAUGUGAAAAUCCCGAGCUUAACUUGGGAACUGCAUUUGAAACUGGGUAUCUAGAGUGGGGGAGAGGAAAGUGGAAUUCCUAGUGUAGCGGUGAAAUGCGUAGAGAUUAGGAAGAACACCAGUGGCGAAGGCGACUUUCUGGACCAUAACUGACGCUGAGGCAUGAAAGCGUGGGGAGCAAGCAGGAUUAGAUACCCUGGUAGUCCACGCCGUAAACGAUGAAUACUGGGUGUGGGGGUUAUCAUGACCUCCGUGCCGCAGUUAACACAAUAAGUAUUUCCGCGUGGGGAGUACGGUCGCAAGAUUAAAACUCAAAGGAAUUGACGGGGGCCCGCACAAGCAGCGGAGCAUGUGGUUUAAUUCGAAGCAACGCGAAGAACCUUACCUAGACUNNACGUCUCCUGAAUUACUCGUAACGGAGG
This 977-nucleotide ribosomal RNA is filed under the name uncultured bacterium. RNAcentral's name for it is "bacterial SSU rRNA". It matches the Rfam family "Bacterial small subunit ribosomal RNA", at positions 12 to 1011 of the family's 1533-position model. The record is from RNAcentral.